UACAGAGGCCCCAAGCGUUACUGAGAAUCACUGGGUUUAAAGGGUGCGUAGGUGGCGCGUUAAGUCCGUUGUGAAAUCCCUGGGCUCAACCCAGGAAAUGCUUCGGAUACUGGCGUGCUUGAGGCUAGUAGGGGUCACUGGAACUGACGGUGGAGCGGUGAAAUGCGUAGAUAUCGUCAGGAACGCCAAUGGUGAAGACAGGUGACUGGGCUAGAUCUGACACUGAGGCGCGAAAGCGUGGGGAGCGAACGGG
Molecule: ribosomal RNA, 253 nt
Filed under: uncultured bacterium
Lineage: Bacteria
Description: partial 16S ribosomal RNA
Rfam family: Bacterial small subunit ribosomal RNA
Source: RNAcentral